GUAGGGAAUAUUGCUCAAUGGGGGAAACCCUGAAGCAGCAACGCCGCGUGGAGGAUGACACUUUUCGGAGCGUAAACUCCUUUUGUUAGGGAAGAACCAUGACGGUACCUAACGAAUAAGCACCGGCUAACUCCGUGCCAGCAGCCGCGGUAAUACGGAGGGUGCAAGCGUUACUCGGAAUCACUGGGCGUAAAGGACGCGUAGGCGGAUUAUCAAGUCUUUUGUGAAAUCUAACAGCUUAACUGUUAAACUGCUUGAGAAACUGAUAAUCUAGAGUGAGGGAGAGGCAGAUGGAAUUGGUGGUGUAGGGGUAAAAUCCGUAGAGAUCACCAGGAAUACCCAUUGCGAAGGCGAUCUGCUGGAACUCAACUGACGCUAAUGCGUGAAAGCGUGGGGAGCAAACAGGAUUAGAUACCCUGGUAGUCCACGCUCUAAACGAUGUAUACUAGUUGUUGCUGUGCUAGUCACGGCAGUAAUGCACCUAACGGAUUAAGUAUACCGCCUGGGGAGUACGGUCGCAAGAUUAAAACUCAAAGGAAUAGACGGGGACCCGCACAAGCGGUGGAGCAUGUGGUUUAAUUCGAAGAUACGCGAAGAACCUUACCUGGGCUUGAUAUCCAACUAAUCUCUUAGAGAUAAGAGAGUGCUAGCUUGCUAGAAAGUUGAGACAGGUGCUGCACGGCUGUCGUCAGCUCGUGUCGUGAGAUGUUGGGUUAAGUCCCGCAACGAGCGCAACCCACGUAUUUAGUUGCUAACAGUUCGGCUGAGCACUCUAAAUAGACUGCCUUCGCAAGGAGGAGGAAGGUGUGGACGACGUCAAGUCAUCAUGGCCCUUAUGCCCAGGGCGACACACGUGCUACAAUGGCAUAUACAAUGAGAUGCAAUAUCGCGAGAUGGAGCAAAUCUAUAAAAUAUGUCCCAGUUCGGAUUGGAGUCUGCAACUCGACUCCAUGAAGCCGGAAUCGCUAGUAAUCGUAGAUCAGCCAUGCUACGGUGAAUACGUUCCCGGGUCUUGUACUCACCGCCCGUCACACCAUGGGAGUUGAUUUCACUCGAAGUCGGAAUGCUAAACUAGCUACCGCCCACAGUGGAAUCAGCGACUGGGGUGAAGUCGUAACAAGGUAACCGUAGGAGAACCUGCGGUUGGAUCACCUCCUUUCUAGA
RNAcentral lists this ribosomal RNA (1164 nucleotides) under Campylobacter fetus subsp. fetus. Its description in RNAcentral is "bacterial SSU rRNA". It matches the Rfam family "Bacterial small subunit ribosomal RNA", at positions 354 to 1533 of the family's 1533-position model. Lineage: Bacteria; Pseudomonadati; Campylobacterota; Epsilonproteobacteria; Campylobacterales; Campylobacteraceae. The record is from RNAcentral.